AACAGUGAGAAAUUUUCAUGAUUACUGAGAAGCACUUGCACAGCGUCAAGGCAUUUUCUGUUUCUCUCACCUCCCCAUCAGCAGCUGGGCUGGGGAGCACAAGGAUCUGUGAGGGGACAGAGCCAGGAUGGCUGACCUCGGGAUGUCACAUACCAUAUGGCAUCAUGCUCUACAUAUAAAGCUGGGGGAAGAAAGAGGAAGGUGGGACGCUGCUGCUUGUUUUCCUAAGUUAUCUGAUCCAUCCUUCUGACGGAGCCCAGCUUUCCUGGAGAUGCCUGAACAACUGCCUGCCUAUGGAAAGUGGUGUUCAGAAUAAUGAUGUCAACUGUUAUUCAUAUUCUUGCUUUGUGUGGAUGGAGUUUCUAACUGAUCCAGGUUUCAACAGGGAAGAGCAGUGAGCACAAAGACAGGAAGAAAAGGGGGCUUGAUCUUUCUUUGGUCCUGGAGCAGAGCACCCUGAAAUGGGUGAGGAGGUCCCUGAAGCCACACUCAGUGGGCAGCAAGCACAACCUUGUGCUUCGUAGUUGUCCAAGAACUGCGACCAGGGCCCUUGAAUUCAAAUGCUAUUGAUCACCUUCUGAAGCAAAACCAGUGGAACAGGAAGUUAGCUGGAGCCGUCGAGCUGCUGCUUCCACAACAGUAGCACAAUCCUUUGUGCAUUUCUGUGACUUUUGUGACACUGAGAGUGUGGGAAUUCAGUGGAGUGGAAAUGAAAGCCAGCAGUGUGAACUGCAAUAUGACAGCAGACUUACUGGAGGCGUUGCUCAGCUCUCAGUCUGCAUUUCUCGAGCUGACCAUUGGUGACUUGUGGAUAGCGCAGGUGCUCCCGUGUGAAACUGACCCACCUGUGUCCAUCCCAUGCCUGCACUUCUCCAGACCAUCUCCUGUGCUCCACUUGCCAAGGUGCUCUCAUGCCAUGUCCUUUACAGAGAGUAUCUGCAUAAAACUAUUGUACCAUAGAAAGAUAAGCAAAGAUAAAGCAAAUUAAGCAUAACCACACGGUCGUUUCGAAAAUUUCUAUUCUAGUUAAGCUAGGAAAUUGCAGGCAGCUCAAGAAAAGCUUAGACAAAGUAAACUUGGAAAACGGCUCCUGAGGCCUUGCUAACUCAAUACUGCUGCUAGCAUGGCAAUACACUAUGUACUGGGCAACACGGCUACCCUGCACCAACUACGAAAUCAUGUAUGUCUGCGGGUUUUCGGGGUCCUGGCUGCUGCCGGGAGCCCCGAACCUGGGGGGGUGCGGGUGGACCCCUCCUCGGCGCGUCCCGCCGCCAUCACACACGGUGUCGGAUGACGAAAUGUCGGCACGACCAGGUACAAGGCAGGGCGCGGAGAUUCCAGUGUUGUUCCAACACGCUUUUAAUGUCGGGGAGUCUGAGGGCGCAGGCGGGAAAGGAAAGCGGGGUACACCGCAGCUGAAAGGUACCGGAGUCGG
Molecule: long non-coding RNA, 1435 nt
Organism: Zonotrichia albicollis (white-throated sparrow)
Lineage: Eukaryota; Metazoa; Chordata; Aves; Passeriformes; Passerellidae
Source: RefSeq, a predicted model, not a curated record